This 253-nucleotide ribosomal RNA is filed under the name uncultured bacterium. Its description in RNAcentral is "partial 16S ribosomal RNA". It matches the Rfam family "Bacterial small subunit ribosomal RNA", at positions 524 to 776 of the family's 1533-position model. The record is from RNAcentral.
GACGAACCGUGCGAACGUUGUUCGGAAUCACUGGGCUUAAAGGGCGCGUAGGCGGGUGUGCAAGUCUGUGGUGAAAGCCUCCAGCUUAACUGGAGAAGUGCCGUGGAUACUGCAUAUCUUGAGGAGGGUAGGGGCAUCUGGAACGGUCGGUGGAGCGGUGAAAUGCGUUGAUAUCGACCGGAACUCCGGUGGCGAAGGCGAGGUGCUGGACCCUUUCUGACGCUGAGGCGCGAAAGCCAGGGGAGCAAACGGG